This is a long non-coding RNA of Gavialis gangeticus (Gharial), 847 nucleotides long. RefSeq lists it as uncharacterized. The record is from RefSeq and is a predicted model, not a curated record. The transcript has 4 exons. Lineage: Eukaryota; Metazoa; Chordata; Crocodylia; Gavialidae.
GAUUGGAUAUGUUAAUGAAAGGUGAUAAGAGAGAUCAGUGGACAAUGCCCAAAGUAAGACACUGGGAAACAGCCAAAUUAAGAGGUAUGCUCAUGACGGGUCUGUUGAAUACGCUGAUAGGAUAGAAUAUGGACAAUAUGUUGACUGCAAAGAGACCAAUCUGAAAGCAAGGGCUCAUCAAAGGAGUGAAGUUAAAGGAAAGCAUAAAAGUGAGCAGCAAGAAAGUUAAGUGUGGCAUCGUUAUCAUUGUCAUCAUAAAUCCAGCCUUCAAUAUCUGUCUGGAGCAUCCCAGACAACAAUACACCCUUUGCUUCAUGAACAGAGUGGCCAUCUUUUCCGAGCAAAGUAACAUCUUGGAUUGGCUCUGCUUCUCCAUGUGUAAAAAUCCCUGAAAUAUACAACUCCAGAUGGACAGACAGAGUUUCUCAGGGGGUUGUGACCUAACUCCCUAGAUGCCUCCAGGGAAUAGGCUAGAACAGUCAGAAGAGGCAGAGGCCAGUGGAGCAGCAAGGAUGAUGUGCCUCUGCAUGGUUGCAGCACUGUCCCACAAUAAGGGAGAUCCAGUUUUGAUGUUCCCUUCAGAAUGGAGGGAUCUGAGCCCACCUCACUGCCUGCCAUGUAGGACACAGUGUUCUGGGAAGUGAUGUGUUCUCAUCCUUUCCUGCUGACUCUAUUUCAGAGCUAUACAGGGACAAUGAUUCUCUGUCCUACUGAUUAGGGCAGGGAUUUUCAAUCCUUUUUUUAACAAGUGUACCCCUUCUCUCAAAGUGUCAGCCCAUGUACCCCAUUAUAUUUUCUCUUGUUUUUAAGGGGCAGGAAGGGGGAAGAUUGAUGUCCCUGCAGUGAG